AUUGAACGCUGGCGGCAUGCUUUACACAUGCAAGUCGAACGGCAGCGCGGGCUUCGGCCUGGCGGCGAGUGGCGAACGGGUGAGUAAUACAUCGGAACGUGCCCAGUAGUGGGGGAUAGCUCGGCGAAAGCCGGAUUAAUACCGCAUACGACCUGAGGGUGAAAGCGGGGGAUCUUCGGACCUCGCGCUAUUGGAGCGGCCGAUGGCAGAUUAGCUAGUUGGUGGGGUAAAGGCCUACCAAGGCGACGAUCUGUAGCUGGUCUGAGAGGACGACCAGCCACACUGGGACUGAGACACGGUCCAGACUCCUACGGGAGGCAGCAGUGGGGAAUUUUGGACAAUGGGCGAAAGCCUGAUCCAGCAAUGCCGCGUGUGUGAUGAAGGCCUUCGGGUUGUAAAGCACUUUUGGCGGGAACGAAAAGGACUGUGCCAAUACCACGGUUCGAUGACGGUACCCGCAGAAUAAGCACCGGCUAACUACGUG
RNAcentral lists this ribosomal RNA (484 nucleotides) under uncultured bacterium. Its description in RNAcentral is "partial 16S ribosomal RNA". It matches the Rfam family "Bacterial small subunit ribosomal RNA", at positions 29 to 507 of the family's 1533-position model. The record is from RNAcentral.